Notothenia coriiceps (black rockcod) is the source of this 304-nucleotide long non-coding RNA. RefSeq lists it as uncharacterized. The record is from RefSeq and is a predicted model, not a curated record. Lineage: Eukaryota; Metazoa; Chordata; Actinopteri; Perciformes; Nototheniidae. The transcript is spliced from 3 exons.
GUGUAACGUCACAAAGCCAUACUGAACAAAGAUGGUGUCAAUCACAGCUGUGAGAACAUAAACACUUUCAUUGUUUUAUUUAUUUUAACUAGUCUCGUCAGAGCAGCAGUUUUCGAUCUUCGCGUCGUCAGUGUUCCAUAGUCGCAGCCCUGCAUUCCAAAAAAGAAGACGAGUACUUCACCAUGAGCUCAGAUGAUGGUGAGAUGGAGAACCAGGCUGAGCUGGAGGAGAAGACAAGGCUCAUCAAUCAGGUGUUGGAGCUUCAACACACUUUAGAGGGUACCACACACACACACACACACAC